Armigeres subalbatus is the source of this 689-nucleotide long non-coding RNA. RefSeq lists it as uncharacterized. The record is from RefSeq and is a predicted model, not a curated record. The transcript is spliced from 2 exons. Lineage: Eukaryota; Metazoa; Arthropoda; Insecta; Diptera; Culicidae.
UAAUUUUCUAACAGUUGGACGGUUAGGACCUCUAAGCAGAGCAAGCUCCCUAUCCCAUCCCAAAGCCAACCGGCGAGCAACGGAGCAAAGCCCCACCGAGGAAGACAUCAUUGCCAGACCGACGACUGCGAGAGGCACGAGGUCGAAUACCCAGUCACGGUUUGACUGCCCAUCCAUCCGGUCGCUUGGCACUAUCCCGGCCUUUGAUUAAAGGUGCGCGGGCUCGGUUGCAGAAUAUAAGGGCUUUUGCGGCUCCAGCUGCUUCGUCUGGCUUCUCUGCAACGCCAAUAGUCCAACCAAACAAGAGUUAUUUAGUCCAACCGAACAAGAGUGAUUAGUAAAGCUAGAAGUGUGUGAUUUCCAGUGAAAAACCGAUGUAAGCAUGAAUUUUCUUGCCAUAUUGAGUCAUGAAAGUGAUUGUGUGCUCAUCCAUCCGCCACAGCACCAACAACGGUGGUCGGUUUUAGUCGGAGUCCACGUGAGAUUCUUCAGCGGUUCCCAACCAGCGACGUGGGACUUGGCCUGGCUGAGAAAGAAGAUAAGUGAAGAAAAUGUGUGCACACUACUGACAUUUUUGUAACUGCGCGUGUGUUGAAGUUAGUGUUAAGCAGAAUUAGCUCACAAUUUACGGCCGUUUAGAAAUUAAAUUGUAAUGGACUUGCUAGUGAGCAAUAGAUUGUGUUAACGUA